Molecule: long non-coding RNA, 3533 nt
Filed under: Nicotiana tabacum (common tobacco)
Lineage: Eukaryota; Viridiplantae; Streptophyta; Magnoliopsida; Solanales; Solanaceae
Description: long non-coding RNA (NTAB_LNC015567)
Source: RNAcentral
UAAAAACCUAGGGACCUAAUACACAAUAAAGACCUAGGACUAAUCAGAAAAAAUACAAAAAUAUAGACCUAGACCCUUAAGGAAAAAACGGAAAAAAACAAAAGGACCUAAAAUGAAAACAAGGCGUCAGCAAUUUCGAUAGACCUAACGCCUAAGUUGCUAAAGGGGGCUUCAGCUGAAAAUAAAGAGGAUAUAAUUAAAAACCUAGAGACCUAUGCUACGGGGUCUCUAAGGGAAUCAGCCGCAAAAGGGCCAAAAAAUAUGAGAGACCCCCCCUCCAUCGGACCCUUCUUCUUCAUAGAGACCUCCAUGAGCUUCUUCUUCAUGAAGCUAUAAGAACCCUAGGAGCCUAAGGAAAAUUCAGCCGCUAAUCACCCAUCGAGAGCAGCUGCUGCUCAUUUUGUCUUCCUCCUCCAGCAGAUCGUCGGAUUAACGAGCUCUAGCCGAGCAACAACGAACCAGAACACCAAACGACCUACCCCUGAAGAUCGAGCGUCUUCUUCCUGAACAAAAAAUCUCGAACCUAGCUAACAGAGACCAUCGACAAGAACACCUCUCCAUCAGCUUCUCCUUCUCCAAGACCCAACAACCAGAACGCAACCUUCUCUCUCAUUUGUCUGUCGCGCUUCUGUCGCUGGCGAGGUUCCAGUGCUAUCGCUUUUCCGUUCGAGUCACUUGAGUCUGGUUUGUGAGGCUGCCGAAUCAAGUUUUCCGGUCGUGGGCUCAUCAAAUUCCAAAGGAUUAUUGCUAUACAAAUCAUUUUUAAGGAUCUAUAGUCUGAAAGAGAAUAUUUUACUACAAUGAAAGGUCCAUUUCUCUAAUUUUGUUCUCUAAUUCAUUAUGUUAAUCUCUUCCUAACAUCUGAUGUGAUAUAGUUUUAGUAUUCUGCUGUGCUAUCUCACAAAAUUGAAUGUCGUCGUGAUCAAUCAAACGUAACCAUCGUAUUUGCUAAAUGAUAACAUCAUGUAUAUCAUCUAUGUCCAUACUUAGCUUCAUGUUAGUUUUAAUGGUAUUAUGAGUUAGCAUGUUAUGGUUUAUAUAAUAUUUUGCUGUGAGUUAAUAAAUGAAUUGAUGAAACACUAGAUUUUUUUUAGAUUGGAGUGAAUUAGGUUUGUUUGGUUUGGACUUUUAGUAAGUUAAAAUUGGUGUAAUUCUACAUUUAGAUUAGAAUUUUUUGUUUUCUUCUUAGUUGAUUGUUUGAUGGUCUACAAUGAUGAUGAGUAAGAUGGGAUUUGCACUUUUCAGGGCAUGAAUCUCGUAGUUUGCUUUAGAUACGUAAUUAAAUUAUUACACCUACGGGUGCAGUUCUCGUGACGUAGUUGUGAUACUUAUUUUUAAAAUAGGAGCAUCUUCAAUUUGCCUUAGAAGAAAAAUACAAAUCUUUCCUUUUAAAAAUAAUUUGGGGUGUGCCAUACACAAAUGAAAAUCCUAUAAUCUAUGUCUCUCACAUAAAUACAAAAUUAGUAUAGAAAAUGCCUUAAACUUUCGUAGUUUGCUUUAGGCGUGUUAAUUAAAUAAUUGUCAUGGCCACGGGUACGGUUCCCGUAACGUGGUCGUGACAUUUAAUUUCUAAAUAUCCGGGGGUACAUUUAUGUGACCCGGCUAUAAUUUAAUCUUGAUAAUAAAAUAAACAUGUUUUGGAUCGUGGGUACGGUUCCCAUGACAUGAUCCGCAACGUGUAAUCAAGUAAUUAGUUGUAUAACAAUUGGAUGAUUAAAAGCGGUUUAAAGGGAAGAAAAAUGCACAUAGGUUUCAAGUAUGUUUUAAAAUAAAAUAAAUAGGCUAAUAAUAAUAAUUGAGCGACCGUGCUAAAACCACGAAACCCAGGAAUGCUUAACACCUUCUCUCGGGUUAACAAAAUUCCUUACCCGGAUUUCUGUGUUUCGCGGACUGUAAAACAAAGUCAAUCUUUCCUCGAUUCGGGAUUUAAAACCGGUGACUUGGGACACCAUAAAUUAACCCAAGUGGCGACUCUGAAUUUUAAAUAAAAUAAUCCCAUUUCGAUUGUCACUCAAAUUGGAAAAAACUCUCUUAUACCCCUUCCGGGGGUAGGAAAAAGAGGUGUGACAGCUCUGGCGACUCUGCUGGGGAUCGAACCCAGAAUCUCUAGUUCAGGGUUCAAGAAUUCGAUCUUAGAAUAAUUGUUAUAUUUGGCUUUUAUUUAUUAUCUGAUUUUGUUUACAUGUUUGGGCCUAAUGUGCUAAAUGUUGCUUUUUACCGCUUUGAUAUUAUCUGAACUGUAUAUAAACUGCUACGAAACCCCUCUCUUCUAUCUUCUGAGGAGUAUACGCUGGCGUGACUUCUUUCUGUUAGUGUCAUAUCCCAAUUUAGAACGAGGUUCGGACAAGUUUUAAAGCCGGAUGAUCUUUUGGUUACCAGUACCCGCCCCCCCUCCCCCCCGUCUCGAGUUGUCCACUCGGGUAAGCCAGGUCUAGAACAAUACACCCAGGUUUUAAACUUAGAAUAACUCAGCCUCAUGCCAGAUCCCUAGUAGGAAUGUUUGUUUGCAUCACGUGCAUCUGACUUUGGGGACUCAACACAGGGGUUGGGUCCGUCUAGGACAGGUGUGCCCAAAAAUAAAAGACAAUCCUGAUGCAUCCUAUGUGCUACAUGUUGCAAUUUUUAAGGGUAAAAGGGUCAUUUGGCAGACCAAUGAUAGCUGAGGGCAAACAAAAAAAGAAAAAAAGAGGGUGAAGUGUGAAACCUAAAGCAAGUAGAGCCCGGUUAUAUUUUCUUUCACAUUAUUUUUUAAAAGAAAAGAGGAGAAAAAAACAUGAAAAAUUCAAUAAGAUUUUGCACUUUUCCAUCAUCUUCCAAAAAUCAAAAAACAAAAUUAGGAAAAAAGAGAAAAAAGAAAAUCCAGAAAGAGUUUACAUGCUUCAUCAUUUUUCAAAACAAAAGACAAAAAUAUAUUUUCUCUAAUUAGUUUUUUUUUAAUUCUCGCUCGUAUCCAAUCUGCCCGAACUACGCAUACCUGAUUCUCGUCUUUCGGGGCGUGAUAUGUAGGCAACCCACAUAGGCUUCGGUCUUCCUAGUAAAUCUUAUAUUCUUGGCUUUGUGGGUUCUUAGCCAAAUUUUGCACUUCUAGCCAUCUUUAGGCCGCAUAAGCCAUUUUACAAAAAUAGCCUCAAUCAUGUCUUGCAUACGUCCAAUAGGGAAUGUUAUUGUCUCACAUAGUGUUCUAGGUCUUUAACCUUGUUUGGUCUUAAUUUUCUCAUAUAGGUGUAGAUCUACUUACCGGAGUUUGGGCAUGACAGACGCCCUAGGACCAUCCAGUCAGGGUCGCUCCUUCAGGAGUUUGCUUAAGGAGAUUUUUUUAGUUAUUAUGUUUUGAGUUUGUUGUUCCUUUUAUGUCGUCUUUUACCUUCUAAUUUUGUAUAGUAAUGUCGAGUCUUUUGUUAUUGUACUUUCUAUUUUGUAUUUGAAAAAGUGUGUUGUAACUCAAAAAUCCAAAAAAAAGAGAGAUUUUGCGUUUUAUAUUUCCGUUAGAAGUUUUCUUGAGAAUACUAUAACAACAACAACAACAACAACAN